GGAAUAUUGGACAAUGGGCGAAAGCCUGAUCCAGCGACGCCGCGUGUGUGAAGAAGGCCUGCGGGUUGUAAAGCACUUUCGAUGGGAACGAAAUGUGCCGGGUUAAUACCCCGGCCAGCUGACGUUACUCAAUGAAGCAGCACCGGCUAACUCCUUGCCAGCAGCCGCGGUAAUACAGAGGGUGCGAGCGUUAAUCGGAACUACUGGGCGUAAAGAGCACGUAGGUGGCGACGUAAGUCGGGUGUGAAAGCCCCGGGCUCAACCUGGGAAUUGCAUUCGAGACUGCAUUGCUGGAGUACGGAAGAGGAGGGCGGAAUUCCCGGUGUAGCGAUGAAAUGCGUAGAUAUCGGGAGGAACAUCAGUGGCGAAGGCGGCCCUCUGGUCCAGUACUGACACUCAAGUGCGAAAGCGUGGGGAGCAAA
Molecule: ribosomal RNA, 422 nt
Filed under: uncultured bacterium
Lineage: Bacteria
Description: bacterial SSU rRNA
Rfam family: Bacterial small subunit ribosomal RNA
Source: RNAcentral